RNAcentral lists this unclassified non-coding RNA (146 nucleotides) under soil metagenome. RNAcentral's name for it is "partial internal transcribed spacer 1". The record is from RNAcentral.
UAAUAAGUGUUUUAUGGCACUUUUUAAAUCCCAUAUCCACCUUGUGUGCAAUGUCAGUCGAUCUUCUUCAUGGAGAUCGACCAAACAUCAACCUUUAUUUUUUAACUCUUUGUCUGAAAAAUAUUAUGAAUAAACAAUUCAAAAUA